UGGGGAAUAUUGCACAAUGGGCGCAAGCCUGAUGCAGCCAUGCCGCGUGUAUGAAGAAGGCCUUCGGGUUGUAAAGUACUUUCAGCGAGGAGGAAGGGAGUAAAGUUAAUACCUUUGCUCAUUGACGUUACCCGCAGAAGAAGCACCGGCUAACUCCGUGCCAGCAGCCGCGGUAAUACGGAGGGUGCAAGCGUUAAUCGGAAUUACUGGGCGUAAAGCGCACGCAGGCGGUUUGUUAAGUCAGAUGUGAAAUCCCCGGGCUCAACCUGGGAACUGCAUCUGAUACUGGCAAGCUUGAGUCUCGUAGAGGGGGGUAGAAUUCCAGGUGUAGCGGUGAAAUGCGUAGAGAUCUGGAGGAAUACCGGUGGCGAAGGCGGCCCCCUGGACGAAGACUGACGCUCAGGUGCGAAAGCGUGGGGAGCAAACA
This 427-nucleotide ribosomal RNA is filed under the name uncultured bacterium. RNAcentral's name for it is "partial 16S ribosomal RNA". It matches the Rfam family "Bacterial small subunit ribosomal RNA", at positions 355 to 774 of the family's 1533-position model. The record is from RNAcentral.